UUGUAAAAAUUUUAUCUAUUUGUACUAUUAAAAAUUGACAUGAUUGAUAAAAUAAUUAGACAACAACUCGUAGUGUGCCACAUGUACUUCAUAAUGAUGUAUGAGAACUAAUUUUUAACAGUAAAAGUAAAAAUAGAUUAAAUUUUUAAGU
Molecule: non-coding RNA, 151 nt
Organism: Gossypium hirsutum (cotton)
Lineage: Eukaryota; Viridiplantae; Streptophyta; Magnoliopsida; Malvales; Malvaceae
Source: Rfam